UCUCCGUAGGUGAACCUGCGGAAGGAUCAUUAUUGUAUGACCGAGGUGCAAGGGCUGUCGCUGACCCGAAAUGUCCUGCACGCCCGAGUGCCCUCACACACAUCCACCUCACCCCUCUGUGCACCACAGCGUGCGUCCCCCUUUGGCCUGUUCGGAGGGGGGCUUACGUUUUCACACAAACUUUGUAUGCAGUGUAGAAUGUAUUUUUUGUUUUUGCGAUCACGCAAUCAAUACAACUUUCAACAACGGAUCUCUUGGCUCUC
Molecule: unclassified non-coding RNA, 263 nt
Filed under: plant metagenome
Description: partial contains small subunit ribosomal RNA, internal transcribed spacer 1, and 5.8S ribosomal RNA
Source: RNAcentral